RNAcentral lists this ribosomal RNA (680 nucleotides) under Weissella confusa. Its description in RNAcentral is "bacterial SSU rRNA". It matches the Rfam family "Bacterial small subunit ribosomal RNA", at positions 53 to 687 of the family's 1533-position model. The record is from RNAcentral. Lineage: Bacteria; Bacillati; Bacillota; Bacilli; Lactobacillales; Lactobacillaceae.
ACAUGCAAGUCGAACGCUUUGUGGUUCAACUGAUUUGAAGAGCUUGCUCAGAUAUGACGAUGGACAUUGCAAAGAGUGGCGAACGGGUGAGUAACACGUGGGAAACCUACCUCUUAGCAGGGGAUAACAUUUGGAAACAGAUGCUAAUACCGUAUAACAAUGACAACCGCAUGGUUGUUAUUUAAAAGAUGGUUCUGCUAUCACUAAGAGAUGGUCCCGCGGUGCAUUAGCUAGUUGGUAAGGUAAUGGCUUACCAAGGCGAUGAUGCAUAGCCGAGUUGAGAGACUGAUCGGCCACAAUGGGACUGAGACACGGCCCAUACUCCUACGGGAGGCAGCAGUAGGGAAUCUUCCACAAUGGGCGAAAGCCUGAUGGAGCAACGCCGCGUGUGUGAUGAAGGGUUUCGGCUCGUAAAACACUGUUGUAAGAGAAGAAUGACAUUGAGAGUAACUGUUCAAUGUGUGACGGUAUCUUACCAGAAAGGAACGGCUAAAUACGUGCCAGCAGCCGCGGUAAUACGUAUGUUCCAAGCGUUAUCCGGAUUUAUUGGGCGUAAAGCGAGCGCAGACGGUUAUUUAAGUCUGAAGUGAAAGCCCUCAGCUCAACUGAGGAAUUGCUUUGGAAACUGGAUGACUUGAGUGCAGUAGAGGAAAGUGGAACUCCAUGUGUAGCGGUGAAAU